RNAcentral lists this ribosomal RNA (253 nucleotides) under uncultured bacterium. RNAcentral's name for it is "partial 16S ribosomal RNA". It matches the Rfam family "Bacterial small subunit ribosomal RNA", at positions 524 to 776 of the family's 1533-position model. The record is from RNAcentral.
UACGGAGGAUCCAAGCGUUAUCCGGAAUCAUUGGGUUUAAAGGGUCCGUAGGCGGUUUUGUAAGUCAGUGGUGAAAGCCCAUCGCUCAACGGUGGAACGGCCAUUGAUACUGCAAGACUUGAAUUAUUAGGAAGUAACUAGAGUAUGUAGUGUAGCGGUGAAAUGCUUAGAUAUUACAUGGAAUACCAAUUGCGAAGGCAGGUUACUACUAAUAUAUUGACGCUGAUGGACGAAAGCGUGGGGAGCGAACAGG